ACGCAUUUUAGAGCCUAAUUCACUUUAAUUAAUAAUUAAAAUUACAUUCAAAUCCAAAUUCAAAAUUUUAAUCAUAAAAUUUUUCCUAAAAUAAAAUUACUGUAAUCCAUCUCUUCUUUUAUAAGCUGCACCUUGAUCUGAUUUAAAAUAAAAUAAAAUAUAAAAAUUAUAUUUCUUCGGAAAUAAUUUACAACGACGAUAUACAAGCAAAAAUAAAAGUUGUUAAAAUCGUGGAUUAUCGAUUACAGGACAGAUUCCCCUGAUUGGAAUAAAAAACCGCCAAAUUUUUUAAUUUUAAAGAACAUAUCUAAUAUUAAUCAGGUCUUUUUCCUCAAAGCCUAGAAUAAUGGGGUAUCUAAUCCCAGUUUAUCAACUAGAUUUCUUAACCUCAUAGACAAAAAUUAAAUUAAAUAAGAAAUAGGAUUUCACCCAAUAUUUCAUUAAAAUAAAAACAAAACUUUAUUAAUUAAGUAAUAGACCGAAAAAAAAUAGAAGCGUUUCUUGUAUAACCGCA
Molecule: ribosomal RNA, 514 nt
Filed under: Taophila mantillerii
Lineage: Eukaryota; Metazoa; Arthropoda; Insecta; Coleoptera; Chrysomelidae
Description: partial 12S ribosomal RNA
Source: RNAcentral